AGCGUAUAUUAAAGUUGUUGCAGUUAAAAAGCUCGUAAUUGAAUUUCGGGAUCAAUUAGUCGGUCGUGCCUCUGGUACGUACUGGUUUUAUUGGUUCCUCCCUUCUGACGAAACAUGAUGUCAUUAAUUUGGUGUCGUGGAGAAUCAGGACUGUUACCUUGAAAAAAUUAGAGUGUUUAUAGCAGGCUAACGCUUGAAUACAUUAGCAUGGAAUAAUGAAAUAGGACGUUCGACCCUAUUUUGUUGGUUUCUAGGAUCGACGUAAUGAUUAAUAGGGAUAGUUGGGGGCAUUAGUAUUCAAUUGUCAGAGGUGAAAUUCUUGGAUUUAUUGAAGACUAACUACUGCGAAAGCAUUUGCCAAGGAUGUUUUCAUUAAUCAAGAACGAAAGUUAGGGGAUCGAAGACGAUCAGAUACCGUCGUAGUCUUAACCAUAAACUAUGCCGACUAGGGAUCGGAUGAUGUUAAUUUUUUAAUGACUCAUUC
This 484-nucleotide ribosomal RNA is filed under the name uncultured Glomeromycotina. RNAcentral describes it as "SSU rRNA". It matches the Rfam family "Eukaryotic small subunit ribosomal RNA", at positions 596 to 1081 of the family's 1831-position model. Lineage: Eukaryota; Fungi; Glomeromycota. The record is from RNAcentral.